GCAGAAAAGUAUUUUAAAAUUAAGAUAUGUACUUUGUUUUAGACAAUUCUAUUGCACACUUAAUAGGCUGCAGUAUAGUGUAAGUAAAAUUUUCAGAUGCACUGGGGAAUCCAAAAAAAUUCAUGUGACUCAGUUUAUUGUGAUAUCUGCUUUAUCUCAAUGGUCUUCAAUGGAACCUACAAUAUCGUGGAGGUGUCCCCUUAUUAUUAUAUCCUGGCUUUCUCGAUGAGCAAAGUGAUGGCAGGAAGCUGAACAGACUCACCCAAAGUCACAUGGCUGAAGAGUAAGCUGAGGACAAGUGAGGCCUGAGGAGGACAAUGUGUAGAUGUUCCCUGUGUGUGGAGGGGUGCUCCGGACCUCACACAAUUCUUACAACAACCCUAGGAGAAUUCCAGGAGCAGAGAGAAGGCUGAUGACCAGGGAAGAAGGUGUCAGAGCUGACUCCAGUCCUGAGCUUCUACAAACCUGGGAGUGGUCUGUAUGUGGUAAAGAAUGCUUCUGGCUUAAGGGGAGGCACCCCAGGGAUAAGGGCAAAGCUUUCUUAGGUCCACUGGAUCAACCCUCAGUACUCUGCCACCCAAGAAAGACACAUGCAAGCAGCUCUAUAUAAGUCAGUCCAGGGACAGAAUUAUGUCCCCUCUGAAGAUGUCCACCUCAUAGUCCCUGGAUUCUGUAAAAAUGGAACCUUUCAUGGCCAAAGGGUCUUUGCAGAUGGGAAGAGUGUACUCAGUUAUCAAGUUGGACCCAAUGUCACCUCAAGGGUCCUUAUGAGAGAGAGGCGAGGGGCUCAGAGUCCGAGAGGAUGCAACAUGGAAGCAGAGAUGUGCUGUGGAGGCAGAGGAAGGGGCCAUCAACCAAGGGAAGCAGGAGAAGGCGAGGAGACGGGACCUCCUCAAAGCCUCCGGAGGAAGUGUGGCCUUGAUUCGGCCAGUUGGACCUCUGACCCAUUUUGGAGUUUGGCCUCCAGAACUGUAAAAUCAUAAAUUUGUGGUUUUCAAAGUACCAGACUUGUGGUGGCAGCAAUAGGGAACGAAUACAGGCUUUUUGAGGCCAUGGUCUGCUUAAAUACGAGGACGUGCGUGUGUGCAUGCUAAGUCACUUCAGUCGUGUCUGA
Molecule: non-coding RNA, 1114 nt
Organism: Odocoileus virginianus texanus
Lineage: Eukaryota; Metazoa; Chordata; Mammalia; Artiodactyla; Cervidae
Source: RefSeq, a predicted model, not a curated record